UCCUGUAUUCAAAAGAGAUUGGGGGCUUCCCACGCCCUGGUCAUUGCUACUCCAGGGAGAGGAUGCCAAAAGCCUUUCCUGUCUUUGGAAGGUCCACUCCUGUCCUUGACAAGCUUUGAUGCUUUCGAACA
Molecule: small nucleolar RNA, 131 nt
Filed under: Neotoma lepida (desert woodrat)
Lineage: Eukaryota; Metazoa; Chordata; Mammalia; Rodentia; Cricetidae
Description: Small nucleolar RNA SNORA71
Rfam family: Small nucleolar RNA SNORA71
About the family: The members of this family belong to the H/ACA class of snoRNAs which bind a number of proteins (including dyskerin, Gar1p and Nop10p) to form snoRNP complexes. This class of snoRNAs are thought to guide the sites of modification of uridines to pseudouridines by forming direct base pairing interactions with substrate RNAs.
Source: Rfam by way of RNAcentral